RNAcentral lists this ribosomal RNA (320 nucleotides) under uncultured bacterium. Its description in RNAcentral is "bacterial SSU rRNA". It matches the Rfam family "Bacterial small subunit ribosomal RNA", at positions 85 to 422 of the family's 1533-position model. The record is from RNAcentral.
GCAAUACGGAGCGGCAGACGGGAGAGUAACACGUGGGAACGUGCCCUUCAGUUCGGAACAACCCAGGGAAACUUGGGCUAAUACCGGAUACGUCCGUAAGGAGAAAGAUUUAUCGCUGAAGGAUCGGCCCGCGUCUGAUUAGCUAGUUGGUGAGGUAACGGCUCACCAAGGCGACGAUCAGUAGCUGGUCUGAGAGGAUGAUCAGCCUCACUGGGACUGAGACACGGCCCAGACUCCUACGGGAGGCAGCAGUGGGGAAUAUUGGACAAUGGGCGCAAGCCUGAUCCAGCCAUGCCGCGUGGAUGAUGAAGGCCCUAGGG